AGUCAUGAUGGCUGACUGACUGAUUACAGCGACCACUCAAAACAACACUAAAAUCAGACUGGCAGCGAUUAAGUAAGAGCUGCACAUUGCCCCCAUUUUCCUCAACUAUUCUGGGAAAAGAUUAUUUUGCCUUGAAGGUAUUUUGAGUGAAAACAUCCCACGGAGCUCUGCAGUGGUUUUGCCAUCACACAACCGUGCCUGGGAGAGCCAGUCGGAUGAUUGAAAAUGAGAAAAGGAAAAUCUUUUAAAUCCCCUUUUACUUCUUCAAUGCUCUAUUUAGAGGAGGCAACAAGGGCUAAGAGCAAUUCAGGAGAGGCCACAGUGGAAUGCAUGCUUGAAGGCUGAAUAUCUGGGUGCACCUGUAGAUGCAGCAGCAUGAUGUGAAUCCAGAGAUGAGGCUGUCGGCUGGUCAGGUAGAAACAGGACUUGGCGUACAGGCAGUAGUGGCCCUUCAGAGGACAAGAGAAUGAGAGCUUGGCCACGCAGCCUCGAUUUGAAUCUGUAACAAUAAACACAAACACACACACACACACACAUAAAAGAGUGAAAAUGAUACAACUAUAAAUUUGUAUUAAUCUCUGAAAAGUUGCACAGUUUGAAACUUGACUUCAAAAGCUCAACCACUCUCAGUGAGCUGUCUUUCUCUCUUCCACAUAUGGACUUGUGUAACCUUGGGAACAUAUUUACAGAGUGAUUCAUAGCAUGCAAGGACAAUGCAUCUCGUAAUCAUCAGAAAAACGUCUUCUCCUCCCACCACCGCCACCUCCCACGAACUUCCACCUCUCUGCCAAGGAGAAGAAACCAGCGAACACUUUCUAUGCUUCAUAUGGAAAUCAUCUGCUACAUCAGAAUGGUGAUUAAAAUGAAAUAAUGAAGGUUUAAUUUUGGAAAACUCUGCUGCAAGUUUUGAUGACAAAGUGAAACUAUCUGCGCCUUAGGUGAAAGAAGUGGUUCAAAGUGAUUUACAGCAAAACUCAACCUUCAUUUUGUUAUUCUGCAAAAUCAAUCUUAAAUAUUAAAGAAUGCUUCUGGCUCCACAACAUAUUAUAUAAUACAUCUGUUCCUUCACCCUCUAUUCACUCCACUAAAGCAGAAGAGAGUUAACGUAGAAGAUGUAACAUAGUAUUCUGUCACAGUCACUGGUCAACACAAUAAACUCAAAAAAUAAAUAAAUCACAAAACCA
Molecule: long non-coding RNA, 1184 nt
Organism: Lates calcarifer (barramundi perch)
Lineage: Eukaryota; Metazoa; Chordata; Actinopteri; Centropomidae
Exons: 2
Source: RefSeq, a predicted model, not a curated record